CUCUCUCUCUCAAAUUGAGACUUUAUAGGUCAGACCUAAAUCAAAACCAGAUCUGUGCAACCCCCUCUCCCUCGUCCACCCUCUGUUUUCGAUCCCUGUCUCUCUCUUCUCCAUUAGCGGCCUGCUUCUCGGCCGCUACCUCUCUUACCUUGAUUUCUCACUACUGAUCGAAACCCUAAGCUAACACCUCAAAAAAGCCAACCCAAAAUCUGAAUGCAAACCACUCUCCCGCCACACUUUCUGUCUUCCUCCACCGUCAUCCGCCAUCUGCAAUUUCUCCAUGCUCAUCUCUUUAAUCUCUUACCACUUUUGUCUAUAAACGUCAAACCCCCAUCAUACCCUUUUCUAAUUCCCUUCCAAAUUUCCCAUAUUUUUCUCAAUCUAACACCCAAUUUUCUCUGCCCAGCAUUUUCAUAUGCAGGGUGUGGGGGAUCAUGGGUUCCAAGGAUCCUGCUCUGGUGGUUGACAACGUUAAGAGGGCAAAGCAGGUGCCGGUGGACUGAUUUCACUCUCUUUAUAGCAUGCAAGUGAAAACAUAAAUGUGGUAUUGCUUAUAUUUGCAUAAGAGGUCUUGUGUGAAAAUUAAAGUCGGACAAUAUCAAGGGGGAAUUGUACUUGGUAUUAAUAAAUUGGAGGAUAGAUUUGUGUCUCGAACUAGCAUGUCAUGCACAAGCCAAAGGUUUGUUUAAAUUGUCAUCUUGUCAAUUAUGACGAUUCUGAAUUUGGGUUUCAUGAUGGAGAACGAGGUGAGUUGCUUACCGCACACACCAGAGGAGGAGAAGCGGAUCAUUGAUGAAUUGGGCUGUCAAUCUGAAGCCAAUGUCAAACAAGGCAACUUGUUCUACGUUAUUUCUAACAGGUGGUACUCAAGCCUCUAAAAGAGAUGUAGGGGUUAUUGUUCAACAAUUCAGAUCUGACAUUGACUUCCAGGAAUUUUGCUUGCAAGUGUUACUUGAAUGUGUAAGCAAGGACAUGCCUGCUCUUUUACAGGAUCUAAGAUCUUUCUCCGUUGCCUCUAACGAGGAUCUAAGAGCUCGUUUCGGAUCUCGUUCUGUGCUGUGGAAUAAUGGAUACUCGUAAACGAGGGAGGAAUGAAGCUACUGGCUUUCAUGCUAAUGGAGGCUUCAAGAAGAACAAGCAAGUUUUGAUUGAAUGACUCCCUGCACCAAGUUUUUCAGGUUAUGAUUGAAGAUAUUGGGAAGCAGAUUAAGCAACUAUAAACCUACAAGGUGCAAGACAUUGAUUUACUUGACUAGAAUUGUUGAACUGUAAUUUGUUAUACUUUAUAAAUUUGUUUGCAUAUGGUGUAUUUUGAUUCAGUUAAUAUUGCAUUUGGUGGUGUAUUUUGAGGGGUGUACAAUUGGAGAAAGCUUCCUCUUGUUAUUAAUUAAU
This is a long non-coding RNA of Rosa chinensis, 1392 nucleotides long. RefSeq lists it as uncharacterized. Lineage: Eukaryota; Viridiplantae; Streptophyta; Magnoliopsida; Rosales; Rosaceae. The record is from RefSeq and is a predicted model, not a curated record. The transcript is spliced from 11 exons.